AGAAGCAGCGGAUUGUGCGGAAGCUGGCAUUUGCGAUCUGUCGCAAAACGGGUCUCAAACACUGACGUCUGGCCAUCAUAAAAAAAUGGUCAGACAUCAAGCGCAGACAUCCCCGGUUUAUAAAAAGAAUCCGGGACGAAAAAUGCCCAGACUCGCUGAAAAUUGUUUUUGUCUGCAACGGGUGUGGGUCUCUUACCUUGCAAGACUCCAGAGCAAGCCAAUGUAUACUGCGAUAUAUGCCUCUAAUUAUCAGCAUCUGUAAUGAGAAUUUUCUAAUAUGCAACUAGCAUUGAGAGGGUUAAAUGGGAAUGUGGCUGAAAGUUAAUGCAGAUACCCAUUUCUUCUAGGUGGUGGUUUAUUUUGCUCCUAAUAUUUAUAUGAGGCCGGGGGAGCAUACUGAGAUAUAUGAAGUACUACCUUGAUUUGAUAUCGAUCAUCCCAUAGACGUGUGCCAUCUGGUUAUCUUGUGAUUUACAUGUCAAGUGGUCCUACAUACGUACUCUGUAUACUCUAUAUAGCCCGAACUCAAUGUAUGACUCUUUUCAUAUAUAUAUAUAACAAUUUCUUCAGGACUUACUGUAAUGUAUAUAUACUUAUAUCUUUUGCACUUAAUCCUAUUGUUAAAAGUGCUAUAAUCCUGCUCUUGUUGAUCAUUAUAUUGUAGAUAAAACCGCAGAUGAAGGUCCUGUGUGACCGAAACGUCCGGUUUAUGUUCAAAACCCUAA
Long non-coding RNA from Bufo gargarizans (Asiatic toad), 725 nucleotides. RefSeq lists it as uncharacterized. The transcript is spliced from 3 exons. Lineage: Eukaryota; Metazoa; Chordata; Amphibia; Anura; Bufonidae. The record is from RefSeq and is a predicted model, not a curated record.